This is a long non-coding RNA of Eriocheir sinensis (Chinese mitten crab), 770 nucleotides long. RefSeq lists it as uncharacterized. The transcript is spliced from 3 exons. Lineage: Eukaryota; Metazoa; Arthropoda; Malacostraca; Decapoda; Varunidae. The record is from RefSeq and is a predicted model, not a curated record.
UGGUGGUGGUGGCCGCUAGUUGGGCCUCCCGCGCCUCGUGUCGGUCCAGCUUGUUCGCCACCGCCUUGAUGCUGCGGUCCAGGGCGAGGAUGGCGUCACGGAUGUCCAGGUGGCUGUGGGGAGGGUUAGGUUAGGUUAGGUUAGGUAUGGUGAUGGUUAGGUUAGGUUAGGUAUGGUGAUGGUUAGGUUAGGUUAGGUAUGGUGAUGGAUGGGUGAGGUGAGGUUAGGUUAGGUUAGGUUAGGUAAGGGUUGAGUUGUUAAAGACUACCAAUAAUAAGAAUAUGACUAAUAAGACUAAGAAGAAGAAAAUGAAGAAGCAGAAGAACAAGAACAAGAAGAAGAACAUUAACAAGAAAAAGAACAAGAACUAGAAGAAGAACAUGAACAAGGAAAAGAACAUGAACCAGAAGAUUAAGAACAACAAGAUUAUUAAGUCGAAGCAGACGAACAAAAACAAGAACAAAACGACCAAGAAGAAGAACAACAACAACAAAAAAGAACAAGAAUAAAAAAGACCAAUAAUUAUAUACGUGAAAACAAGGCAAAAAAAGAAAAAGACAAAAAACAAAAGAGAUGCGAAAAAAAUAGAAAAAAGUAUAUUGCUAAAGAUAAUUACCAGAGAGAGAGAGAGAGAGAGAGAGAGAGAGAGAGAGAGAGAGAGAUUCUGGGUACAAGGACGAGAGGUUGGGUAUAAAACCUCACACUUAGAAGAGGAGAAGGAAGAGGAGGAGGAUAAUGGGUAAUAGAUAAAGCAAUUGUUUUCUCUCUCU